RNAcentral lists this ribosomal RNA (301 nucleotides) under uncultured bacterium. Its description in RNAcentral is "partial 16S ribosomal RNA". It matches the Rfam family "Archaeal small subunit ribosomal RNA", at positions 459 to 759 of the family's 1478-position model. The record is from RNAcentral.
CAGUAGCCGCGGUAAAACCAGCAGCCCAAGUGGUGGUCGCGUUUAUUGGGCCUAAAGCGCUCGUAGCCCGGCCGGUAAGUUCCCCGUGAAAUCGGGUCGCCCAACGAUUCGGCUCGCGGGGAAUACUGUCGGUCUUGGGGCCGGGAGACGCCGAGGGUACUCCGGGGGUAGCGGUGAAAUGCUGUAAUCCUCGGGGGACUACCAGUGGCGAAGGCGCUCGGCGAUAACGGGCCUGACGGUGAGGGGCGAAAGCUGGGGGCGCGAACGGGAUUAGAGACCCCUGUAGUCCCUGUCUCUUAUA